RNAcentral lists this ribosomal RNA (494 nucleotides) under uncultured bacterium. Its description in RNAcentral is "partial 16S ribosomal RNA". It matches the Rfam family "Bacterial small subunit ribosomal RNA", at positions 30 to 507 of the family's 1533-position model. The record is from RNAcentral.
AUUGAACGCUGGCGGCAUGCUUUACACAUGCAAGUCGAACGGCAGCGGGGAGGAGCUUGCUUCUCUGCCGGCGAGUGGCGAACGGGUGAGUAAUACAUCGGAACGUGUCGAGAAGAGGGGGAUAACCACCCGAAAGGGUGGCUAAUACCGCAUAAAUUCUGAGGAAGAAAGCUGGGGACCUAGGAAUAGGCCUAGCGCUUUUUGAGCGGCCGAUGUCGGAUUAGCUAGUUGGUGAGGUAAAGGCUCACCAAGGCGAAGAUGUGUAGCGGGUCUGAGAGGAUGAUCCGCCACACUGGAACUGAGACACGGCCCAGACUCCUACGGGAGGCAGCAGUGGGGAAUUUUGGACAAUGGGGGCAACCCUGAUCCAGCCAUGCCGCGUGUAUGAAGAAGGCCUUAGGGUUGUAAAGUACUUUUGUUAGGGAAGAAAAGUCAGCUGUGAAUAAUGGCUGAUACUGACGGUACCUAAAGAAUAAGCACCGGCUAACUACGUG